UUUUUGGUUGUUGGAGGUAAAGAGAUUAGAGGCUCUAUCUUUGAUUUGAAGGGGCCCUGUGGUUUACCCCGAGCCUUGGUGAGUCGGGGUAUUGGCUAAAAAUCCAUUGAGGUCCUUGAGAUGGCACGAGUCAUCAAGUAGAGGUUUGUGAUUCCAAGGCUGCAGAGCAAGAGAUUGUUCUUGAGAAGUUCGAUGUUUUAAGGGAUUGAAGACCAACAUUACCAAAGAGCUCAAUGCCAGGCACAAAAGCUAGCGAUUAUGGACUGUGGCUAUGAUUUGUUGAGCUUCUUUGAGUUGUGAAACUGAAGCUCUCUCUCUUUCCAAAGAGUACCGAUCACACAUGCAGCAGAACAACAUCCUGAUGAGGUCAGAUUUUCAAGGUUCGAGGACAUGAAAGCAAAUGUCCAUAAGGUUCUUUUCCUCUCUUUCUUCUUUUGAUUUUAUGAUUUGAGAAGAUAAUAUUGAAUUGCAUGUGAUUGAGUUAGUAAAUAGGAUUUAGGAUGGGCGAAUUUUUUGCAUUCAAAUUUUCAUUUUUUUAUAAGAGUGCUUAUGCAUAUACAUGUUUGUGAAAAUGCCAAAAAGGGCUAUUUUAUAUUUUUUGUUCUCUGUGCAUAAUUUUUCCUUUCCAUACCUUAGUUAUGUAAUAGGUCAUGGUAAUGUUUUUGAUGUGUUUGGAUUUGGUUAGCUUCUUGUCAUGGCAAUAGCUAUGCUUUGCCAUGCUUGGCCGAGCUUUGCAUUUUGAGGAUAAUGUCUUAAUUCUUCGAGAAAAAAAAAAAGAAAAAAGAAAAAGAAGAAGAAGAUAAAUUGUUGAUAUUGGUCUAUAUGCGUGUUUGUCAUGUUUGUGAAGCUUAGGCCGUGUCAUUGAGUUCAUGACAGCUUGCCCACAAUGUGUUGAUGGGUUGUUUGUCCAACAAUUCUUUUAGUACUUUAGCCUUCUUGCUUAAGCUCCCUUUGUUAGAUCAUGUCUUCAUCCAUGAUGAACAACAUCUUGGCCACUAAAAGUCAUAAAAUUUUUAAACAUA
Long non-coding RNA from Quercus lobata, 1022 nucleotides. RefSeq lists it as uncharacterized. The record is from RefSeq and is a predicted model, not a curated record. Lineage: Eukaryota; Viridiplantae; Streptophyta; Magnoliopsida; Fagales; Fagaceae. The transcript has 5 exons.